This 24-nucleotide non-coding RNA is filed under the name Arabidopsis thaliana (thale cress). The record is from RNAcentral. Lineage: Eukaryota; Viridiplantae; Streptophyta; Magnoliopsida; Brassicales; Brassicaceae.
AUGGGCUGACCAUGGACUUGCCCA